UCGUGCUAAACGGGGAGCUAGCGGUGCCCUGAAUCCUGUCUGAAUAAGGCAGGGGUGACCCGAAAUCCGCUUAUGCGGGGUUGAAUACCCCUCUGAGUCAGUCAGUUCAGGGGCAACAGCAAGGCUAAAAGGGCGAUGAGGUCCGGGUCUUAUGAAGGCACCGUCUACGAACCCCGCCAGGUCCGGAAGGAAGCAACGGUAAGUAGAAAUGGGCUGGUCAUAAGGGUGCCUGGACUGAGUCCUUUACUUUGCUGUUCCUGGAGUGGCUGGCGAAUUGGGGUUGCACGA
Molecule: signal recognition particle RNA, 288 nt
Filed under: Caldifarciminota bacterium
Lineage: Bacteria; Pseudomonadati; Caldifarciminota
Description: candidate division WOR-3 bacterium (hot springs metagenome) signal recognition particle sRNA large type
Rfam family: Bacterial large signal recognition particle RNA
About the family: The signal recognition particle (SRP) is a universally conserved ribonucleoprotein involved in the co-translational targeting of proteins to membranes. Archaeal SRP consists of a 7S RNA and homologues of the eukaryotic SRP19 and SRP54 proteins. In most bacteria, the SRP consists of a 4.5S RNA and the Ffh protein (a homologue of the eukaryotic SRP54 protein).
Source: RNAcentral